Molecule: long non-coding RNA, 1806 nt
Organism: Frieseomelitta varia
Lineage: Eukaryota; Metazoa; Arthropoda; Insecta; Hymenoptera; Apidae
Exons: 2
Source: RefSeq, a predicted model, not a curated record
UUCGUCGGUGACGAUCAUGGUAGUCGUUGCUGUAUUUUCACGUAGUCGUGACUCGCAGCUUGCGCUGCGUAUUGAUCGUACGGGAUGCUGCUGCUACUGCUGCUACUGCUACUACUGCUGCUGCUAGCUGUUGCUGGUUACUGGCUGCUAGCUGCUCCAGCGCCAGCUAACAGUGAGCCCUACACCAAGGACCAAUAGGGUGCCAACACUCUCUCUCCCUCUCUUGAUUUUCAAUAUACUUGGUUUAUACCCACCACUACGGAUUUCCAAAAAUGAAAGUAAAUGUGAUAAUUUUUUUUUUUUUUUUUUUUUUAGGUAAUUGCUGGUUGAUUGAUUCCGGCAGAAGUGGUAAUUGAUUAUAGAGAAACAUAGGAAGACAAUGACCAAUAUUUUUUCAGUUGCACCCUUUGAGGAAUAAAGGAACGGUUUGUAGUUGGAAAAUAGAAUGUGUAGGUUGAAAUUGGAAAAUAGUACAGACAUGAAACUGGUACAAAAUAUUAUAUUACAUUACUGUGAAAUAUUACAUAUACGAGAAAAUCUUGGCCACAAUUUUACACAAUAUAUCCUGCACAUACUCAGAGUCCAUCAGUCAUGUAGCACAUGUGUCGCAUGUGUGCGAAAUGUGAACAUGAAACCAACGACCCGACUUCUGCCUAUCAAACGUCGAACCUUCAUCUAAUUAUACUACGAUCUUAAAAUAACCUAACUUCAUCAUUAACUACACUACACCUAUCAUUUGUACAAAUAAUACUACACGCUGCUCUUUCUUUACCAGGUACAAAAGAGAAAAGAGACAUGUUUUAUAACUUAACUAUAUUUCUUCUAAUAUACGAGGGAUAUAAAUGAAUCGCAAAUAUCGAGGAAAGCGCGCGUUCACCGACACCUACGCCUCGGUGCAGAAAUGUCGGACAACUAUCAAUGGUUGGAACACGUCCGUAGUGUCUCGAUGAAAAUACCGGCGAAAGGUGAAUGGUUUGCAGUACGUGAAAAUAGUUUCACUACACAAGGCUAGCUAUGUCGUAAAGUCGGCCGUAGCCGGGAAGAACCGAUCGAGCCGAAAACGAAAGCAAACGCCAGGCCGUGACUGCCAAGUCCAACGAACCUGCCACUUGGCAGCCGACAUUCGUAUUCAAAAGUAACUUUAAUACAGUUCAACUUGCCUAAACCUAAAUCCACUUUAACCGUAGAAGCGUUGGUGCUGGCACAGAAAACUGUCACUGGCAUCCGAGGAAUUGACGACGGUGAUCAUUCACGACGGUCAGCCGAUGAGUCAGCCGAUUUUCUUCAAUGAAAUUUCUUCCUUAUCCCGUAUUAUCAAGCACUGGCGGAUUUAGAAGGUUCCGAUCGAACGUGAGAAACACGUAUGCGAAAUUAUUAUUUGAUGCACAAGGAUGAAUCACGUAAAUGACUCACGGAGGGAAUAGAUGCGCAGGGUGUAAUUUAUGCAUGCACGCCGUUGGAACUAAGUUUACAAAGUGUCCCGCGUAAUUUAUAGCCACGUAAUACGUGCGCAACUACUUUGACAAGGAAGCAAAGUUGUAAAAUAGAAUGUGUUAUUUUAUUGACAAUUUAUAGGGUUCAGUUGCAAAAUGUGAUACGAGAUCUUUACAAAGGGAUCUUUAGUGUCAAAACAUAGGUUUCGACAUGAAAUAUAAAUACAUAGAAGACGAUACUUGAUCAAUAAUGUAGGCCAAUAGAAAAUACUUUGCCAAUACACAAAGAUUGAUAGACUCCAGACAAGUUAACCCAAAAAUACGGUUCCCCUUGUUGAGCAUCCACUUUUUACAAGCAAUAUAGCUUCGAGGG